Molecule: long non-coding RNA, 344 nt
Filed under: Lathyrus oleraceus (garden pea)
Lineage: Eukaryota; Viridiplantae; Streptophyta; Magnoliopsida; Fabales; Fabaceae
Description: Pisum sativum (pea) long non-coding RNA (PSAT_LNC020548)
Source: RNAcentral
GAAAAGAAAGUUUGAAAAUCAAAAGCAUAAGGCUUAGGUUUCUAAUGUUGGAAAAACAAGUGUUAAAUGUUUGCACAAAAAGUUUUGGCUUGGGUUAGAGUGGAGGGAAGAAGAAGAAUGGUUAAGGUCCUAAUCAUACAAGAGAUGAAGGAUAAGAAACAAGACCACAAAUGGAGUUCCUCUCUUGAGAUCAUAUUGAUGAUUCAAGUAGCUCCCAUCCUUUGGAAUAUGCAAGCAAAAUAAGUAAUAAGCUCAAGCAAUCAACAUAAUCAAACAAGCUCCUUAGAAGAUCCCCAAUGUCUCUUGUAUCUUUCAUUUUGGAUGAACAUGGCAAUGGUUCUUCA